This is a long non-coding RNA of Musa acuminata AAA Group (dessert banana), 4095 nucleotides long. RefSeq lists it as uncharacterized. The transcript is spliced from 6 exons. Lineage: Eukaryota; Viridiplantae; Streptophyta; Magnoliopsida; Zingiberales; Musaceae. The record is from RefSeq and is a predicted model, not a curated record.
UCGCAUCGCGACACGUGGCCCUCUCACUUACCUCUCCGACACGCGAUCAUCUCUUUGGUGGCCGAAACCCUAACGAUCGAACGUUAGAGGGUUGUUGUUUAGGUGGCGGAGGGGAACUGCGCCUGGACGCGGAUGAUGCCGUGCUGCCCGCCGAUCGCGGCCGUUCCAAUGGGGCCCGGAGCAACGAAUGCUUUGAGAUGAGGUAUGAAAUACAAUUUUUAUGCUUCGACGAUGGUGUAGAACUGCUAACAAUUAGAAUCUAUACUCCAGCAUGAUGAGAUUGCAUAGAUCGCCUCUUGUGGACCCUUACUGUCAGGAGCCUCAUGCAGGUCAUGCCGUUUCCUAAUGUUUUAAUAUUUUCAUUGUUAGAAAAUUGAUCUCUAUGUUCUUCAGAUCUUUGAAGCAAAAAUUUUGUGCUUCCAAAGUUUUUAUUGAUCAAAAUCACUACAAUAGAACAGGUUGCUUCACCCCAAGUCAUUAAGCUAUGAUGCAAACACUAAUCAUUUGCUCUUAGACCCUGUUCUAGUAAUUGCUGCAUGAUAUGGCAUUGGUUUUUGAAACUUAAUUGAAACACAUGACAAAGGCCUGAUACUGAUGUUGUUUAUAGUUUAUUUUUUGUAUAAUAAGACAUGCUUGAAACUUUUCAAAGUUCUUUGAAACUUAUAAUCAUGUUAUGAUGUUUUGGUUGGUCUUCUACAGUGACUAAUUCUGUCCAUUAUUAUGUGCAACGAUUUUUUUUUUUGUUUGGAACAAAUGAAAAGAAAAAGUUCUUUUUUUCUUAUGAAAGCAUGUGACUAGAAGAAGCCUAAAGGAGCCUUAAUUUGUUCACAAUCUUAAAACUUGUAAACUAUCUUGUAAUUUCAGGAAGCAUUUCUUCAGCGUUGGACUUGCCAUGACCACAAUCUCACAAACAACCUGCACUAUUUAGGGCACAUGGUUCGAGAAAUCAUACACAAAUAUUGUCCUCAUUUUCCAAUUAGGCUUCCAAGCAUCAUCAUCUUCUUUGUCCACAUAUUCUUGUAGUGAUAUUAAGGUGCUUGACACCUCUAAGAUGGUGCCAAAUUAAGAAAUCCAAUGCUGAAUCCCAACAUGUCUGAUGACAGUGGUUGGUAGCCACUGCACUGGCUUUUGCUGAAGUAGUUACUUCUCCCACAGCAAGGGACAUUGAUCUUCUGUGUGCGAACAAGCACCUUUGAGUUGUGGAGAACACAAAUGGAUUGAAGAACGCUAUUUGGUUUAUGUAAGUGUCAAAACCUAUUGGCUCUCCUAGAAGGUGGAUGAGUCUAGCCUUAGAAACGCUAGACUCUUUUUCUAAUGUUUAGCACCUGGUGAGAAAAUGGGUUAUCGGGGACAAUAAAUGGGAUGAAUGAGACUUUAUAUUAAUUCACAACUUUAAAUGGGCUAUUUUCGCUUGGGUUUAUGGGUUAAAAGUACGUUGAUUGGGUAUUCUAAUUCUUUGUAACUCAUUUCCACAUAUUAAACCUCCAAAUGCAGUUUAGCUGCCUCAACCAAAUCGUACCUUGGUACAACUGGAUACGGACCUGAAAGAGAUCAACUGAUUUGAACAGCUUCAGCUCAGUUAUGCCUUUCCUAUUAUUUUAAUUUGUAAACUUCUCUAAAAAUGUUGUUUAGUUCAGUUUGUUUUCAUAUUCUGGGAAUAAAAUAAGUUUUCUUUGAUUUGGAAUUUUGCCUUUAAAUCAAACCAAAUCCAGCUGCAUGCACCCAUAGUAAGGUUUCCUCUGUAGGUAUAUUAACUUUUGGGCUUAAAGCCUGUUUGCUCCAUGAUUAAAAGGAUCAGCCCAUAGUACUCAGUUCUCAUCUAAUAGGCAGGAUUGUUUCUUAGGGCAUCGUUGUCAAUGUUUGCUGCAUCAUAAUCAUGCUAUAUUUAUUUGUUUCCUUCAGGGUUGAAGAUGGAUCAGAUAUGGAUUGAUUGGAGAAAACUUAUUCAUAUCCACUUUUUAUUACUGUAUUCAAACUGAGUUAUGGGUCUUUCAUGGGUUCUAACUUAUGCAGCUAUAUGUAAAACGGAAGAUAAAAAGAGAAAAAGUAAAUGUGCCGAGAUAGAACGAUUGAGCAACUAAUUUCAUUUCUAUAUAUUAUUAUAUGUAAACUUGACUUUCAGAUGUAAUGCAUUGGAUAUCCAGAUAAAGAAAGCAAGUGCACCAUAUCUGUGUUAAGAACGUUCCAGAUGGCAAAAUUCUGAUACAAAUAUAGAUAUCUAACCCUAUCUAGAUAUUGAAAUAGACCAAAAGCCUCUGACUUCUUUUGCCCAUAGUAUUGUUUCAUUUAAUUCUAUUUGCUGCAAUGUGAGAGCAUGUGGUGGUUAUGUUACAAUCGCUUGCUUAGAUACUUGGGCCUCACCAAACAUUCACUUCGGGGGCUAUCUCUAAUACUAUCGUCAAACUCAACAUGACAUGGUCUGCCUUUCAUACUCAGCUCUAUAUAUUUCUCCAUAAAAAGAAGAAAACAAGAAAAAAUUAUCUUACUUUGAAAUUUUAGAAUUAUUUCCUUAUAGCUGAACAAUUAAUUUUGCUUCCUUGAUAGUGGGAGUUGUCUUCAAGUUUGGACUCAAAACUGGUAUAAGAGAAGGAAGGAAUACUUUCUUAGGCAUAAUAUUGUUUUCCUAUUCUCUUCUCAUUGCAAGAAACUAAAAUUCCAAUGUGGUGGAUAAACAGUGUGGUCACAGAUGGAUCAUUAGAAUCAGGAGGCCUUUGAUUUUGGCUCAACAAGAAGCUCUGCAAACUUAAAUGCCAGUUGGAUGAUAUACAUUUAAUUAUAGACCUCAAGUGGAGGACAAAAAAUUAUGGAGAAAUGUUGUGCAGAGGAUUUUUGAUGAUUGGCUAUUAAUGUAUAGAAUGAAUGAAGGAUGGUUUGGUUAAGAGGGGUAAGGCAUGAGAUCUCAUGUGCUGCUUCUAUGGAAUGAAUGCUAUUGUGAAUCAUUUGCUUACAAGAUGCAGCCAAUCAAUUAUACAAGUUUCUUGAAAGAUUUUAUGUUCAGUUGAAUCCUGCAUCAGUCAUCAAAUGGUUCAAAGUUGCAUUAGAAGAGAAUUAAGGAGGUAAUGGAUGCUUGAUAAGGUUACUGCUACUUAAGUUGGAUUACAUAUAUGAAGUUGCAGAAAGUCCACUCAUCAGGUGUCUGUUUCUCAGGUAAAUGAUUAAAUCAUAUUAUUCAUCUUGGAUAGAUGCUGCUGCAGAUAAGAAUGAAAAACUUUUGGCAAAAGAUUAGUUGUUCUGUAGUUGGAUUCUCUUCUGGUGGCUAAUGAAGGCGACUGAUCCUGCUUUGGUUCUUGCUGCUGGUUCUGCCUCUGGAAGCUUGUUUUUUGAUGGGUUUUCUUUUCUGAUACCUGGCUGUACCUGAAUUGACUUUUAUUUUGUCUUUGUUUUAUUGAUUUUUUUUAAUUAUUUAUUGAUCUUGCUCAUCUAAUGAGAACCUUUUGUAUCCCUUCUACAGUGGGAAAGUGAAGACAAGUGAGUGCUCCACUCUUCACAUCAGAAAAGGUUCAGCAUCUUCAGCUGCAGCUUGCUGAAUCAACCAUAUGUAUUGUCUGGACCAUCAAAUCUUCCGAAGGGCCCAUUGAUUCUGCACCUCCAAGCUACUGUGACAGGCUGCACUCUUUGUGGUCACUACCUCAGAAUUCAGAAUUGUGGGAACAACAGGAAGAAGCAUACCAGGUGCAAAUGCAGACAUAUGCUAGUGAAGCAAGACCAGAAGAAAGUGGAAGACAUAGUGCUCAAUUAUUUCACCAUAGAGGAGACAGUGCACAUGUUCUUCCCCUUCUGGUGACUCAAUUCUUUUCUUCACAGAAAGAGAGCCAACAGCUGCUAGAAAGAUCAUGAGCUUUCCGACCGCAUUAGGAGUUUGCAAUGAUGGAUGCAUCUCUGCCUGGUGUUCCAGGAUUUCUACAUGAAUGUCAGGAGUCAUUAGCAGUUAGUUGAAUCAAAAGACCCAUAUAUGUUUGUGCCUCAUAUUCAAGCACAAAGACUUACACAGGUGUAUGUGACUUCAUUUCAUAACAAGGUUCACCUUCUGUGUAUGCUUUUACGACUUGGGCGAUUGAUUUAAUUAAAAGGAAGAGAAUUUAUUGUGAAUGCUUA